ACCGGCAGCUCAAGUGGUGGCCAUUAUUAUUGGGCCUAAAGCGUUCGUAGCCGGUUUGAUAAGUCUCUGGUGAAAUCCCGCAGCUUAACUGUGGGACUUGCUGGAGAUACUAUCAGACUUGAGGUCGGGAGAGGUUAGGGGUACUCCCAGGGUAGGGGUGAAAUGCUAUAAUCCUGGGAGGACAAACUGUGGCGAAGGCGCCUAACUGGAACGAACCUGACGGUGAGUAACUAAAGCCAGGGGCGCGAAAGG
RNAcentral lists this ribosomal RNA (252 nucleotides) under uncultured prokaryote. RNAcentral describes it as "partial 16S rRNA". It matches the Rfam family "Archaeal small subunit ribosomal RNA", at positions 475 to 726 of the family's 1478-position model. The record is from RNAcentral.